Molecule: transfer RNA, 71 nt
Filed under: Dasycercus cristicauda (Crest-tailed Mulgara)
Lineage: Eukaryota; Metazoa; Chordata; Mammalia; Dasyuromorphia; Dasyuridae
Description: tRNA-Asp
Rfam family: tRNA
About the family: Transfer RNA (tRNA) molecules are approximately 80 nucleotides in length. Their secondary structure includes four short double-helical elements and three loops (D, anti-codon, and T loops). Further hydrogen bonds mediate the characteristic L-shaped molecular structure. tRNAs have two regions of fundamental functional importance: the anti-codon, which is responsible for specific mRNA codon recognition, and the 3' end, to which the tRNAs corresponding amino acid is attached (by aminoacyl-tRNA synthetases). tRNAs cope with the degeneracy of the genetic code in two manners: having more than one tRNA (with a specific anti-codon) for a particular amino acid; and 'wobble' base-pairing, i.e. permitting non-standard base-pairing at the 3rd anti-codon position.
Source: RNAcentral
AAAGAUAUUAGUAACAACCAUUACAUAACUUUGCCAUAGUUAAAUUAUAGGUUCGACCCCUGUAUAUCUUA